AGGGAAUAUUGCGCAAUGGGUGAAACCCUGACGCAGCAACGCCGCGUGGAGGAUGACACUUUUCGGAGCGUAAACUCCUUUUCUUAGGGAAGAAUUCUGACGGUACCUAAGUAAUAAGCACCGGCUAACUCCGUGCCAGCAGCCGCUGCAAUACAGAGGGUUCAAGCGUUGUUCGGAAUCACUGGGCGUAAAGCGUGCGUAGGCUGUUUCGUAAGUCGUGUGUGAAAGGCGCGGGCUCAACCCGCGGACGGCACAUGAUACUGCGAGACUAGAGUAAUGGAGGGGGAACCGGAAUUCUCGGU
Molecule: ribosomal RNA, 302 nt
Filed under: Campylobacter jejuni
Lineage: Bacteria; Pseudomonadati; Campylobacterota; Epsilonproteobacteria; Campylobacterales; Campylobacteraceae
Description: bacterial SSU rRNA
Rfam family: Bacterial small subunit ribosomal RNA
Source: RNAcentral